Molecule: ribosomal RNA, 229 nt
Filed under: uncultured bacterium
Lineage: Bacteria
Description: partial 16S ribosomal RNA
Rfam family: Bacterial small subunit ribosomal RNA
Source: RNAcentral
CGGGGUGAGUAAUGCUUGGGAAUCUAGCUUAUGGAGGGGGAUAACUACGGGAAACUGUAGCUAAUACCGCGUAGUAUCGGAAGAUGAAAGUGUGGGACCUUCGGGCCAUAUGCCAUAGGAUGAGCCCAAGUGGGAUUAGGUAGUUGGUGAGGUAAAGGCUCACCAAGCCGACGAUCUCUAGCUGGUCUGAGAGGAUGACCAGCCACACUGGGACUGAGACACGGCCCAG